AGUGAACGCUGGCGGUAGGCCUAACACAUGCAAGUCGAACGGCAGCACAGUAAGAGCUUGCUCUUACGGGUGGCGAGUGGCGGACGGGUGAGGAAUACAUCGGAAUCUACUUUUUCGUGGGGGAUAACGUAGGGAAACUUACGCUAAUACCGCAUACGACCUACGGGUGAAAUCAGGGGAUCUUCGGACCUUGCGCGAUUGAAUGAGCCGAUGUCGGAUUAGCUAGUUGGCGGGGUAAAGGCACACCAAGGCGACGAUCCGUAGCUGGUCUGAGAGGAUGAUCAGCCACACUGGAACUGAGACACGGUCCAGACUCCUACGGGAGGCAGCAGUGGGGAAUAUUGGACAAUGGGCGCAAGCCUGAUCCAGCCAUACCGCGUGGGUGAAGAAGGCCUUCGGGUUGUAAAGCCCUUUUGUUGGGAAAGAAAAGCAGCAGGUUAAUACCCCGCUGUUCUGACGGUACCCAAAGAAUAAGCACCGGCUAACUUCGUG
Molecule: ribosomal RNA, 492 nt
Filed under: uncultured bacterium
Lineage: Bacteria
Description: partial 16S ribosomal RNA
Rfam family: Bacterial small subunit ribosomal RNA
Source: RNAcentral